This 278-nucleotide long non-coding RNA is filed under the name Manacus vitellinus (golden-collared manakin). Its description in RNAcentral is "lncRNA (ENSMVIG00005015938.1)". The record is from RNAcentral. Lineage: Eukaryota; Metazoa; Chordata; Aves; Passeriformes; Pipridae.
UUUGCUUGUUGAAGCUGUUUUAUGUGUAGAAAUAAAGCAAUCACUUGAGGAAGCCAGUCCAUGAUUACUGAAACUCCAUUUACUGAAGGAAUCUGUCUGAGAAACCCAAAAGGAUUCUAUUUAUCUAAGACUAUGAAAUCUUACUCUGUGAUAAUUAUUGAACAACUGGUGCCACCCUCAAAGCCAUUCUCUCUGAAAUGCUUUCUUACAUGGAGGGAAGAUUGAGGUAUCCAACCAAAAUGGGUUGGCUUUAAAAGUCUGAUUGUCAAACUCAAAAC